This is a long non-coding RNA of Motacilla alba alba, 492 nucleotides long. RefSeq lists it as uncharacterized. The transcript has 4 exons. NCBI's taxonomy places the organism in Eukaryota, Metazoa, Chordata, Aves, Passeriformes, Motacillidae. The record is from RefSeq and is a predicted model, not a curated record.
AGAUUUGAAAGGUGAAAACAAGGAGUGAAACUGAAUGUGAAAAAUGAAAACUGCCUACCUGGUGAAAAGAAGGGAAGAAGGAAAUCAGAAGGGUAUAUAAAUCUAAAAGUCUUGGCAUUACUUCAGAUAUGCUGCAUACUCAGUUCUGCAUUUUUUGGGGGCUGCAGAACACCAAUUCUCUACAAACCACCAACUAGCAGGAAGAUAUGUUACAAUCAAUCUAUCUUUUCUAUAAUACCAGAUGCAUGUCUGCGGGUGCAGUAGAGGAUUGAUAUACAAGACAUAAGAAGUGAAACAUCAACCUGUAUUUUUGAUGAGGCAGUGCAGAAGAUGUGGAUUGGGGUCUAAGUCCAAGAACAAAGAGAUUUUGUAAAAGGAAUUUUCUGGGUUUUGAGCCUGCUGUGGGUGCAGAAAGAGGCAUGUGGACAGGGAUGCUCACAGCCCCUGUGCAAGCAGCUGGGAAUAGCUGGCGGCAGCAACUGGCACUUAUUC